UUCAUGUCUUUUGUAUUAAAGAAUUAAAUGGAUGAAAUAUGAAGUUUUAUUAAAAGAAAAAGGGGUGAAAAGAACAAAGUUUUGUCCAUCUUUGUUCAUCAUAGCUGAAAGUUAGAGAAGAGAAAGGAGAGGAGAAAGCUCUUGAGUAUUCGGUCAUUAAGAGGAGGAAAAUUGAAGGCAGUUCGUGUGUGGAUCUCGUCAGCAUAUCGUCGCAAACAGGAAAUCCCCAACCAUAGUGGGCUUGGAGCUGUGAGGGAAUUCGGAGUGGCCACCCGUUCUGAAAGUUUGAUUUUCUUCUGGUGAACUGGACAUCCUUUUAAUUACGUUUGAGGUUUUGGGCUUUUAAAUAUAAUAAGGCCGCUUAAUUAUUUUUGAUGGUUUUAAUAUGUAUUACUAAGAUAGGUAAUACUUAUUUUAACUGUUGAAAUUGGAUAGCUUUAGGGCGCGUUUUCAAAAACAACAAUUGAUUUCAAAAUAACACGACAACAAGCAAAGCUUCCGCAAUGAAA
Long non-coding RNA from Gossypium arboreum, 509 nucleotides. RefSeq lists it as uncharacterized. The record is from RefSeq and is a predicted model, not a curated record. Lineage: Eukaryota; Viridiplantae; Streptophyta; Magnoliopsida; Malvales; Malvaceae. The transcript has 3 exons.